UAUUAACAACCAUGGCUAAGACUAAGCUUGUUGCUCUUUCCUUCAUAGUUUUGCUGAGUAUCGGCCUCUCCGAGGCAGGUCGAGCAUUGAUGUCUUCAGGUGGAGGUGGUGGUGGAGGAGGUGGCGGUGGAGGUGGUGGCUCUGGAAAUGGCUCCGGUUCCGGCUCUGGUUACGGUGAAGGAGGUGGAUCCGGGGCUCACGGUGGUGGGUACGGAAGAGGUGGAGGCGGAGGUGGUGGAGGCGGUGAAGGGGGAGGUAGUGGGUCUGGUUAUGGGUCGGGGAGCGGCUAUGGCUCAGGCUCCGGGCAUGGGGUCGGUGGUGCCCAUGGUGGAGGGUAUGGAAGUGGCGGAGGAGGCGGAGGUGGUGAAGGCGGAGGUAGCGGCUCUGGCCAUGGGUCAGGAAGUNNN
This 407-nucleotide long non-coding RNA is filed under the name Elaeis guineensis (African oil palm). RNAcentral describes it as "long non-coding RNA (EGUI_LNC010557)". Lineage: Eukaryota; Viridiplantae; Streptophyta; Magnoliopsida; Arecales; Arecaceae. The record is from RNAcentral.